CAGCAACCAGGGCAGGGUGGAGCUGACAGAAGGGCCCCCGGGAGUCACCUGAGGUGUGAGAUGUUCCUGUGCCAGCAGAUUCCGCACCUCACUGGAGGAAGGUCCGUUUGCUCACUGUCCUUUUGGUCCUCAUGGCCAGCCUGGGAAGUGGGGAUUACUUUGAGGACCGUCGUGCAGAUAAGGAAACUGCGGCUCAGAGAGGCCCCAGUAGCCACACUGGCACCACUGCGCUGGAGAAGACUGGGGAAGCACAGAACGUCAGAGCAGGGGCGCAAUGUGCAGACGGACGGUCAGCCUCGGGCCAAGGACCGGGCAGCAUGAGGGCCACCGUGGUAGAGCUGGUACCCAGGCAGAGUCGGGGGCCUGGCUGUCUGCAGGGCAGUUCCAAGACUGGGGGCCACCUCCCUGCUGUGUCACAAGGUCGAGCCCCAGGGAGCAGCUGACACUGCAGACCUGAAGGACCAGAACCUCUUCCUGCUUUGCGCAACCCCAGACCUGCUGGGGGGUCAGCUGGGGUCUCAGGUCUCCAGGCAAGGGGGCCGGGGACUCUCUCCAAAGCAGGUUGAACCUGCCGUGUGGCCCUCCUGCUUCCCCACUAAUAAAGGGCCCACAGGGCAGGGGUGGUCAGGGAGGCAGGGACCCCUGCAAGUACAGAUGGCACGUGCCAGACUACGCUUGAGACCCUCCUCAGUUUUUCACUGACCCUCACAGCAACCCUGGGAGACAGGCACUAAUUUAUCUUAGGUACCAAUAUCAUUCCCAUUUUCGAGAGGGGUAAACCCAGUCCCAGAGAGUUAAGGCACCCGACCAGGGCCCCCAAUUCCUGGCAAACAAGAGGCGUUUGCUAAGUAUUUGUUGAGUGGAUGAAGUCGAGGGGGGAGUGACUCGCUCAAGAGCAUCAGCAGAGUCAGAUCUGAACCCAGGUCUGACCCCGAAGCCCCUUGGUUUCUCUGCCUCGACUGAACUCUGCAGCCUUGGGACCGACGGACAAGCACAGCUGACAUAUUUACCCCUCACGGGCAUCAUGAGAUGUGACCAGCUUUCCGGGGCUCCACGCUGUUUCCUUUCACCCCGAGAAAGGCAAAAGCAGCCCCUGACAGCCAGGAGCCGGCCUGGCCCUCCCAGCUAGGCCACGGUGUGCUCCUGUGGAGCACAAAAAAUUUCACAGAUCACCAGCAUCAGACAAGGCCACUCGAUGACUGUGAUGGAUUAAGACAAAAAACAAGACCGCUCUGUAAUCGUGUCUGAACACAGACAAAAAAAUGAACGUGGUCCAAACCACAAAAAUGAUUGAAUGUCCCUUUAUCCUGGCUAAAUGAGUGACAGCUGCUUCUUUGCCAAUCACAGCUUUAGCUUCAAUUCAUCCCACUUCCCUUCUAGACUAAAAUGAUGACGGUACCCAAUCACAGAAUCACCCCUGCUUUGUGAUGGCAUCCAACCCAGAGCAAAGCUCCUCUCCCUGGAGCCGUCCUCCCCAGGAGCACCUGACGCCAGCCUGAGUCCCUUCCAGCCCUUCCUCGCCCCCUCGCUGGGGCGCCCCGCAGUUUCUUGAGGACGCCUACCACAGCAUGGCUUGCCAAGCGGUUCCACAUCCACACCCGGGACCCGAACCAGCAAACCCCAGGCUGCUGAAGCCGAACGUGGAAACAAGACACCAAAAGCAAGAAUCAGCACAAAAAAGGGCAACAGAAAUAAUAAGUAUGCGACAUGUGGAAGUGUUAGCUAGUCUUGCGCUGGUAAUCACAUUGCAAUAAAUGAAUGUAUCAAAUCGACACAUUGUAUGCCCUAAACUUACACAAUGUUACAUGAUGAUAAUAUCUCAAUUAAAAAAAAAAGGACAACAGAAAUAGACCACAAGGACUUUAGGUAUUGGAAUUACCAAAAAUUAUGGUCUUAGAAUCACAGGCUCAAAGAUCCUCAAGGACAAGUUCAUCCUAAAAUGCAUGUGGAAAAACAAGGGACCAGAGUAGCCAAAACAACCUCGAAAAAGAAGAACAAAUGUGAAGGACUCACACUUCCUGAUUUCAAAGCUUCCCACAAAGCUACCGGAAUCAAGACUGCGUGCUACCAGUGUAAGGACAGACACGUAGAUCAAUGGAGUAGAAUUGAAAGUCCAGAAAUAAACCCAUAUACAAUGGUCAAUUGACUUUUGACAAGGGUACCAACAAACUCAAUGGGGAAAUCAUCUCUUCAAUAAAUAAUGCAGGGACAACUGGAUUUUCAUGCAAAAGAAUGACGUUGGACCUCUACUUCACACCAUACACCCACAUACACCAUUAACUCAAAAUGGAUUAAAGUUCUAAAACUGUGAGCUAAAAUUAUAAAACUGUUAGAAGAAAACAGGUGUAAAUCUUCGUGACCUUGGAUUAAGCAAUGGUUUCUUAGAUAUGACAUCUAAGCGUAAGCAAAGAAUGAAUAGACAAAUUGGACUUGAUCAAAAUUUAAAACUUGAGCUUCAAAGGACACUACGUGAAAAGACAAUCCACAGAAUGGAAAAAAAUAUUUGCAACUGAAAUAUCUGAUAGGGGCCUCAUAUCUGGAAUAUAUAAAGAACUCUUACAGUUCAACAAUCAAAUGCCAAAUAAUCCGAUUGAAACAUGAGCAAGGAUUUGAAUAGACAUUUCUCUAAAGAUGAUGUAUGAAUGGCCAAUAAACACAUGAAAAGAUGAUCAACGUCAUUAAUGGUUAUGAAAUUGUAAAUCAAAACCACAAAGAGAUACCACUUCACACCCACUAAGACGACUACAAUAAAAAAGACACAUUAACAAGUGUUGGCAGAGAGGCGGAGAAAGUGAAGUCUUUAUACACUCCUAGUGGGGAUAUAAAAUGGUGCAGCCACUUUGGAAAACAGUUUGGCGGUGUCUCAAAAAGCUAAAGAUGGAGUUCCCGUAUGCUGCAGCAAUUCCACGCCGUGGAAGACAUCAAGAGAAUGGAAAACAUGUUUACAGAGAAACUUAUACUUGAAUGUUCAUCACAGUGUUAUUCGUAAUAGCCCCAAAGUGGAAACAAUCCAAACGUCCAUCCUCGAAAUAGGGUGCACCCAGACAAUGGAAUAUUACUCAGCCAUAAAAAGGAAUGAAGUCCUGACACGUCAUGAAUGAACCUCGAAAACAUGCUGCGUGAAAGAAGCUUGACACAACCCUGCAUGUUCGUUCCAUUUAUACGAAAUGUCCAGAACAGGUGAAGCCAUGGCAGAAAGUAGACUAGUGGCUGCGGGGGUGAGGGGGUGGAGGGAGGAGUGACUAAUAGGUACAGGGUUUCAUUUGGGGGCGAUGAAAAUGUUCUGGAAC
RNAcentral lists this long non-coding RNA (3290 nucleotides) under Equus caballus (horse). RNAcentral describes it as "lncRNA (ENSECAG00000044771.1)". The record is from RNAcentral. Lineage: Eukaryota; Metazoa; Chordata; Mammalia; Perissodactyla; Equidae.